GGCAAAUCCCAGAAAUAACGUCCCAGUUCGGAUUGCAGUCUGCAACUCGACUGCAUGAAGCUGGAAUCGCUAGUAAUCGCGAAUCAGCAUGUCGCGGUGAAUACGUUCCCGGGUCUUGUACACACCGCCCGUCACACCAUGGGAGUCGGAAAUGCCCGAAGCCAGUGACCCAACCUUUAAGGAGGGAGCUGUCGAAGGCAGGUCUGGUAACUGGGGUGAAGUCGUAACAAGGUAGC
This 236-nucleotide ribosomal RNA is filed under the name uncultured bacterium. RNAcentral's name for it is "partial 16S ribosomal RNA". It matches the Rfam family "Bacterial small subunit ribosomal RNA", at positions 1266 to 1500 of the family's 1533-position model. The record is from RNAcentral.